Molecule: ribosomal RNA, 373 nt
Filed under: Macrobrachium acanthurus
Lineage: Eukaryota; Metazoa; Arthropoda; Malacostraca; Decapoda; Palaemonidae
Description: partial 16S ribosomal RNA
Rfam family: Bacterial large subunit ribosomal RNA
Source: RNAcentral
CGAAGGUAGCAUAGUCAGUAGUCUUUUAAUUGGAGGCUUGAAUGAAUGGUUGGACGAGAGACAAGCUGUCUCCCUAGUGUAAGUUGAACUUAACUUUUGAGUGAAAAGGCUCAAAUUUUUUAGAGGGACGAUAAGACCCUAUAAAACUUGAUAUUGGUUUAGCAUGAUUUGCGAUUUUAGUGAAAAGUAGUUUUGUUUGAUCUAUAUUUCGUUGGGGAGAUGAAGAUAUAAAUUGUAACUGUCUAUUUAAUUUAAUAAUUAUAGUUAGUGUUUGAUCCUUCUUUGUGGAUUAAGAGAGUAAGUUACUUUAGGGAUAACAGCGUGAUUUUUCUUGAGAGUUCUUAUCGACAGAAGUAGUUGCGACCUCGAUGUU